AAAUAGUAUUUUUAAAUGAUUAACAGAAUUAAAGCAUAAUGAAGUGUAUGUAGCAAUGUAUUUUAUUGCAAAUCUCAAGUAUUUGCAGUGUUAAAAAAUAGUAAAUUUCUAUAAGUUGUCAAAACUACGAUAGUUGCUGCAAACCACGGGAAGUCAACAAACAAUUAAUAAUGUUCAUAAAUAAAGUUAUAAAUAAAAUUUCAUAAUUAUUGA
This is a long non-coding RNA of Xenia sp. Carnegie-2017, 213 nucleotides long. RefSeq lists it as uncharacterized. Lineage: Eukaryota; Metazoa; Cnidaria; Anthozoa; Malacalcyonacea; Xeniidae. The record is from RefSeq and is a predicted model, not a curated record. The transcript is spliced from 2 exons.